Molecule: ribosomal RNA, 443 nt
Filed under: uncultured bacterium
Lineage: Bacteria
Description: partial 16S ribosomal RNA
Rfam family: Bacterial small subunit ribosomal RNA
Source: RNAcentral
CCUACGGGAGGCAGCAGUGGGGGAUAUUGGACAAUGGUGGGAACCCUGAUCCAGCGACGCCGCGUGAGUGAAGAAGUAUUUCGGUAUGUAAAGCCCUGUCAGCCGGGAAGAAAGAAAUGACGGUACCUGACCAAGAAGCCCCGGCUAACUACGUGCCAGCAGCCGCGGGAAUACGUAGGGGGCAAGCGUUAUCCGGAAUUACUGGGUGUAAAGGGAGCGUAGACGGUUAAGUAAGUCUGGAGUGAAAGGCCGGGGCCCAACCCCGGGACCGCUCUGGAAACUAUUGAACUUGAGUGCAGGAGAGGUAAGCGGAAUUCGUAGUGUAGCGGUGAAAUGCGUAGAUAUUAGGAGGAACACCAGUGGCGAAGGCGGCUUACUGGACUGUAACUGACGUUGAGGCUCGAAAGCGUGGGGAGCAAACAGGAUUAGAUACCCGAGUAGUC